This 355-nucleotide transfer-messenger RNA is filed under the name Actinomycetota bacterium. It matches the Rfam family "transfer-messenger RNA". From Rfam's summary of the family: Bacterial tmRNA, also known as 10Sa RNA or SsrA, is named for its dual tRNA and mRNA-like properties. Its role is to liberate the mRNA from a stalled ribosome. To accomplish this part of the tmRNA is used as a reading frame that ends in a translation stop signal. The record is from RNAcentral. Lineage: Bacteria; Bacillati; Actinomycetota.
GGGGGUGAUGCGGUUUCGACUUUGAGAGUUGCCGCGUCGGAAGCGAGCCGAGGUCCCCGGAUGCCUCGUUAAAGAGCCGGGACAACCAUAAGUGCCGAGGACAACCUCGCACUGGCUGCCUAAUUAAUUAGCAGCCCGUCUGCCCGCUGGGCGCCUGCCUCGGAGGAGCGGACGUCGCAAAGCAGGAUGCCCCCGCCGGGGCUCCGGGACCGGCGGGGAAAGACCAACGCCGGAUAGGGCGAGAGGAAACCGGCCGGCGGAGUCCUCCCGUUCCGAAGCCUUUCCGCCGGCUGCGCUCGGAGAAUCGACGUGGAAGCCUCAGAGGACCGGGGUUCGACUCCCCGCACCUCCACUU